CAUCAAAGGGGACAUCUCUUAAAACGAGACAGUGAUCCGACACUUAGCGCAUUAGUGUUACCUCUCACACCUUUUGAGUAAAUGUGAAAAAUGCCUCCUAUGCUUGUUUUCUUCAGGGUGCAGCGGGUGUCAUCUCGGUGAUCGAUGAUGCUGAGGCGAGGUACCAACACAUUACAGCUGCAGUCAGCGUGCCAGCAGCGUGGAAUGAUGGGAAACGGUGCCCUGCCGCCGUGUCGUCCAUUGUGACAUUGAGAUCUUCAAAGGAUCUUUAGUCCCAUCGGCCUGAUCCAUCCAGAUCGUUCACUGAUGUGUGGUAGACACCGCCGAGGAGGAAUCUGUCUGCUGACACAGCGAACGGUCAGAGGUUUCCUUUUUUAAUCAUCCUCGGUGUCCAAAAAGAGACAUCCAGCUGAUCCUCUUGUACGGGAACAUUUCAGCCGUGGGACGGUUGUGAGACUCUUCAGAAACGGCAGAUUUAGGCGUAGAGUUCUUUUGGAUUGCAAAACGUGACUUCAAUGUCCAAACGAAGGCUUUUGUAGAGGAAGAUACUGUGAGGUAAAGCAGUAGUUCGUGACAUGAUUGUUGAUGCAGCAGGUACGAUGUGCGUUAUAUUUGAUCACAAGUUGUCAGUAUCAUGUGUGAAGUAUCUUUAUUCAUUGACUCGCUAUGUCAUCUUUAUCUAUUAACCCAGUGCUUACAGCCCGGUGGCGAUGUUUUAAUAAAGGUUACUGUCAUGCAGGGUUUGUAACACUA
This is a long non-coding RNA of Gasterosteus aculeatus aculeatus (three-spined stickleback), 753 nucleotides long. RefSeq lists it as uncharacterized. The record is from RefSeq and is a predicted model, not a curated record. Lineage: Eukaryota; Metazoa; Chordata; Actinopteri; Perciformes; Gasterosteidae.